GGAGGAAGAGAAAGAAACAUCGAUUCCCAAAGUAGCGGCGAGCGAAAUGGGAAGAGCCUAAACCGAAUCUCUACGGAGAGUCGGGGUUACGGACCUGCGGAAUCGAAAUUACUCAUAGUCGAAUAGCAUUGGAAAGUGCAGCCGGAGAGGGUAAAAGCCCCGUAGGCGAAAUGAGGAAUCGAGAGGCGGGUAUCCAGAGUACCACAGGACACGAGGAAUCCGGUGGGAAGUCGGGGGGACCACCCCCCAAGGCUAAAUACUACUUAGUGACCGAUAGCGUAUAGUACCGUGAGGGAAAGGUGAAAAGAACCCCGGGAGGGGAGUGAAAGAGAACCUGAAACCCUAUGUUUACAAGCAGUGGGAGCGCAAGCGACCAUGUACUUUUUGUAGAACGGGCCGGCGAGUUACUGUGUGUAGCGAGGUUAAGGUGUAGAGCACCGGAGCCGUAGCGAGAGCGAGUCUCAAAUGGGCGAAUAGUUGCAUACAGUAGACCCGAAACCGGGUGACCUAUCCAUGGACAGGAUGAAGCGGUGGUAAAGCACCGUGGAGGUCCGAACCACACGUAUGUUGAAAAAUGCGGGGAUGAGCUGUGGAUAGCGGAGAAAUUCCAAUCGAACUCGGAGAUAGCUGGUUCUCCCCGAAAUAGCUUUAGGGCUAGCCUCGAUUUAGAUUAUUGGGGGUAGAGCACUGAAUGGGCUAGGGGGCCACAAAGCUUACUGAACCCUAUCAAACUGCGAAUACCAAUUAAUUGAUGAUCGGGAGUCAGACAGUGAGAGAUAAGUUCCAUUGUCGAAAGGGAAACAGCCCAGAUCCACGACUAAGGUCCCAAAAUACACGUUAAGUGGAAAAGGAUGUGCAGUUGCACAGACAACCAGGAUGUUGGCUUAGAAGCAGCCACUCAUUCAAAGAGUGCGUAAUAGCUCACUGGUCGAGUGAAUGUGCGCCGAAAAUAUACCGGGGCUAAACGUGAUACCGAAGUCUGGGGAUCAAGAAAUUGAUCGGUAGGGGAGCAACGCAUACGGACAGAAGCAGAAGCGGGAGCGACUGUGGACUGUAUGGGAGAGAGAAUGCCGGCAUGAGUAGCGAGAGCAAAGUGAGAAUCUUUGCCGUCGAAAGCCUAAGGUUUCCUGAGGAAGGCUCGUCCUCUCAGGGUAAGUCGGGACCUAAGCCGAGGACAAGAGUCGUAGGCGAUGGACAACAGGUUGAUAUUCCUGUACCGUACUUAAGCGUUUGACUGAAGCAGUGACACAGAAGGAUAGACAGACCGGGGGAAUGGUAGACUCCGGCCAAGCAGUGAGGCUGACAUGUAGUGAAGUACGCAUGUUAAGGCUGGGCUGUGAUGGGGACUGAAGAUUAGUAAGGAAGCUGUUGAAUUCACACUGGCGAGAAAAGCUGCUAAGGAGCGAGAGUAUGCCCGUACCGCAAACCGACACAGGUAGGCGAGGAGAGAAUCCUAAGACGAGCGGGAGAACCCUUGUUAAGGAACUCGGCAAAAUGACUCCGUAACUUAGGGAGAAGGAGUGCCUCGAGAGAGGCCGCAGAGAAUAGGCCCAAGCGACUGUUUACCAAAAACACAGGUCUGUGCGAAGUAGAGAUACGACGUAUACGGGCUGACGCCUGCCCAGUGCCGGAAGGUUAAGGGGAAGUGUUAGGGCAACCGAAGCACGGAACUUAAGCCCCGGUGAACGGCGGCCGUAACUAUAACGGUCCUAAGGUAGCGAAAUUCCUUGUCGGGUAAGUUCCGACCCGCACGAAUGGCGUAACGACUUGGGCACUGUCUCAACAAGGGACCCGGCGAAAUUGUAGUAUGUGUGAAGAUGCACAUUACCCGCGAUAGGACGGAAAGACCCCGUAGAGCUUUACUGUAGUUUAACAUUGGAUUUUGAUAACACAUGUACAGGAUAGGUGGGAGGCUGAGAAACCGGCACGCCAGUGCCGAUGGAGCCGCUGUUGGGAUACCACUCUUGUGUUAUUGGAGUUCUAACGAAGUGCCGUAAACCGGGCUUCGGACAGUGUUAGAUGGGCAGUUUGACUGGGGCGGUCGCCUCCGAAAGAGUAACGGAGGCGCCCAAAGGUUCCCUCAGAAUGGUUGGAAACCAUUCGCAGAGUGCAAAGGCAGAAGGGAGCUUGACUGCGAGACCGACGGGUCGAGCAGGUACGAAAGUAGGGCUUAGUGAUCCGGCGGUAUGAGAGUGGAAUUGCCGUCGCUCAACGGAUAAAAGCUACCU
This 2228-nucleotide ribosomal RNA is filed under the name metagenome. Its description in RNAcentral is "bacterial LSU rRNA". It matches the Rfam family "Bacterial large subunit ribosomal RNA", at positions 212 to 2468 of the family's 2925-position model. The record is from RNAcentral.